GGCGCAGCCUGAUCCAGCCAUGCCGCGNGAGNGAAGAAGCCUUCGGGNUGUAAAGCUCUUUCGGCGGGGACGAAACGGUUCGUGACAACACCACGGACUAAUGACGGUACUCGCAGAAGAAGCACCGGCUAACUACGNGCCAGCAGCCGCGGUAAUACGUAGGGNGCAGGCGNUAAUCGGAAUUACUGGGCGUAAAGCGUGCGCAGGCGGCUCCUUAAGNCAGAUGNGAAAUCCCCGGGCUUAACCUGGGAACUGCGNUUGAAACUGGGGAGCUAGAGUGUGGAAGAGGGGGGUGGAAUUCCAGGUGUAGCAGUGAAAUGCGUAGAGAUCUGGAGGAACACCGAUGGCGAAAGCAGCCCCCUGGGCUAACACUGACGCUCAUGCACGAAAGCGUGGGGAGCAAACAGGAUUAGAUACCCUGGUAGUCCACGCCCUAAACGAUGUCAACUAGUUGUUAGGGAAGCAAUUCCUUGGUAACGAAGCUAACGCGUGAAGUUGACCGCCUGGGGAGUACGGCCGCAAGGUUAAAACUCAAAUGA
This 539-nucleotide ribosomal RNA is filed under the name uncultured bacterium Beta-146. RNAcentral's name for it is "bacterial SSU rRNA". It matches the Rfam family "Bacterial small subunit ribosomal RNA", at positions 374 to 908 of the family's 1533-position model. The record is from RNAcentral.